Molecule: ribosomal RNA, 253 nt
Filed under: uncultured bacterium
Lineage: Bacteria
Description: partial 16S ribosomal RNA
Rfam family: Bacterial small subunit ribosomal RNA
Source: RNAcentral
UACGUAGGGUGCAAGCGUUGUCCGGAAUUAUUGGGCGUAAAGAGCUCGUAGGCGGUUUGUUGCGUCGGCUGUGAAAUCCCGAGGCUCAACCUCGGGUCUGCAGUCGAUACGAGCAAACUAGAGUGUUGCAGGGGAGACUGGAAUUCCUGGUGUAGCGGUGAAAUGCGCAGAUAUCAGGAGGAACACUGGUGGCGAAGGCGGGUCUCUGGGCAACAACUGACGCUGAGGAGCGAAAGCGUGGGGAGCGAACAGG